This is a non-coding RNA of Coffea arabica (coffee), 196 nucleotides long. Lineage: Eukaryota; Viridiplantae; Streptophyta; Magnoliopsida; Gentianales; Rubiaceae. The record is from RefSeq and is a predicted model, not a curated record.
UUAUAUAAGUUAAAGGAUGGAAGAAAAGGAGCAGAAGACAAAAAAGCUCUAAAAUCUGAGGUAUCCAAGAAACCUAGAAUUGCCAAAGAGUAUGGUGAAGAAUUAGUUGGUUCAAGGAUAAAGGUCUGGUGGCCCAUGGACAGUCAGUUUUAUGAAGGCGUUAUUGCUUCUUUUGAUCCUUCAAAGAAGAAACAUA